UAUAUAUAUUUUUGGGCAACGACAAACUUAACUUACUGACCGUCCCUAACGCAAAUGAUAAAGGGCUUGGUGGUUGGUAUCCAAGAUUCCAAAUUCGAAGUCUAGCUAGUUUAUUCACAUUUCCAGCUAAGUUUAUUUCUAAAAAAAAUAAACGAAGUGGGUAACAUGUUACCUAUCUCUCUCUCAAAAAAAGAAAACAAUGAACUCGACUUUUUAAGUUUUCAUAUAUGUUAUUUGAAGCUUUCUCAAUUUUAAAAAUAUCUUAAUAGUUUUAGUAAAAUAAUAAUUUUUCUCCCAAAUAAUAGAAUCAAAUAAAUUU
RNAcentral lists this long non-coding RNA (319 nucleotides) under Ananas comosus (pineapple). RNAcentral's name for it is "long non-coding RNA (ACOM_LNC039884)". Lineage: Eukaryota; Viridiplantae; Streptophyta; Magnoliopsida; Poales; Bromeliaceae. The record is from RNAcentral.